RNAcentral lists this long non-coding RNA (789 nucleotides) under Mytilus galloprovincialis (Mediterranean mussel). Lineage: Eukaryota; Metazoa; Mollusca; Bivalvia; Mytilida; Mytilidae. The record is from RNAcentral.
GCUGAAUUUAUUAACUUAGUUUAUGCAAGGUCACAAAUAUGUGUUUCAAAGAUAGAUAUACAAUUGGACGUAAUACAAAAUAAACACGGUACUUAAUUUUUAAAAUGCAUUGUAUGAAGUCGAACCGAGGACCAGAUAUUCGAAAGAAGCACAAUACCAAAAAUAUCUGGAAAAGGCUGGACAGUUCCAGCUGAAGAAUAGAUCUGCAUCGGGAAGUAUUAACAUAUUAACACUUUCAUCCAAUUGGAAAUAUUACGAGGUUAAAUAUUAACACAUCUAAUGAAUGACGAUAGAAUGUAUUGUGUUAAUCUCUGUGACAAAAACGUGUCAACCAUACAAAAUUUUAAACAAAGUGGGGUGAUUAGCAGUAUCUAAAAUUGUCGUCAGUUUUUAUUUGUGUGUAGUAUUUUUUUUUUUUUUUUCGUUGGAGUUUUUAUUUUAAUUUCAUAAUGCAAAUAUUAAUAGUUAUGUUUUUUUUUAUUUACUAAUACAUUUCAUUUUGUGUUUUUCGUCCACUUGAAACAAAGAGCGACCUAACUGGUUCAAGAGGCCACCAUGACCACUGGCUACACGUUCUGAGGUUCACGAUUAGGGACUGUGAGAGAAUAAUAUAAUAUACAAUGUUUAUCCAAUGUAUACCUAAGAGGUUCUAUUUUAUUCGGAUCUCAUUUAUUAAACUGACAUGCGAUACUGAUAAUGUUGUACGUUUAAUUUGUAUCUCAUUCACUACAUUGUUGUAAGUCAUAGAAUACAAUUAUUUAGAAUAAGAAGCUAUUCACACCAAAACAU